This 118-nucleotide ribosomal RNA is filed under the name uncultured bacterium. Its description in RNAcentral is "partial 16S ribosomal RNA". The record is from RNAcentral.
UUCGUACAGUACCGUCAAGCUUCUACACGUAGAAGUGUUUCUUCCUGUACAAAAGAAGUUUACAACGCGUAGCGCCGUCAUCCUUCACGCGGCAUGGCUGGUUCAGGCUUGCGCCCAU